AUACGGAGGGUGCAAGCGUUACUCGGAAUCACUGGGCGUAAAGCGCGCGUAGGCGGUUUGUUAAGUCAGAUGUGAAAGCCCAAGGCUCAACCUUGGACGUGCAUUUGAAACUGGCAGACUUGAGUACUGGAGGGGAUGGUGGAAUUCCCGGUGUAGAGGUGAAAUUCGUAGAUAUCGGGAGGAAUACCGGUGGCGAAGGCGACCAUCUGGCCAGAUACUGACGCUGAGGUGCGAAAGCAUGGGGAGCAAACAGGAUUAGAAACCCUUGUAGUCC
This 274-nucleotide ribosomal RNA is filed under the name uncultured bacterium. Its description in RNAcentral is "partial 16S ribosomal RNA". It matches the Rfam family "Bacterial small subunit ribosomal RNA", at positions 523 to 796 of the family's 1533-position model. The record is from RNAcentral.